CUAAAAAUAGUAUAACUUAUUUAUUACAUAGAUUUUGGAGAUCUAAAAUGAAAAAAUCUUUUUAGA
This 66-nucleotide transfer RNA is filed under the name Hypoaspis linteyini. Its description in RNAcentral is "tRNA-Pro". Lineage: Eukaryota; Metazoa; Arthropoda; Arachnida; Mesostigmata; Laelapidae. The record is from RNAcentral.